AACUGCGAGUGAAGCGGGAAAAGCUCAAAUUUAAAAUCUGGCGGUCUUUGGCCGUUCCGAGUUGUAAUUUAGAGAAGCGUCUUCCGCGUCGGACCGUGCACAAGUCUCCUGGAAUGGAGCGUCAUAGAGGGUGAGAAUCCCGUCUUUGGCACGGACCCCCCCGAUGCUUUUGUGAUGCGCUCUCAAAGAGUCGAGUUGUUUGGGAAUGCAGCUCAAAAUGGGUGGUGAACUCCAUCUAAAGCUAAAUAUUGGCGAGAGACCGAUAGCGAACAAGUACCGUGAGGGAAAGAUGAAAAGCACUUUGGAAAGAGAGUGAAACAGUACGUGAAAUUGUUGAAAGGGAAACGCUUGAAGUCAGUCGCAUCGAUCGAGACUCAGCCUUGCCUCGGCUUGGUGUACUUCUCGACCGAUGGGCCAGCAUCAAUUUUGCCUCUCGGAUAAUGGCAAGGGAAAGGUGGCACCCUUACGGGUGUGUUAUAGUCUCCUGUCGCAUGCGAGGGGUGGGAUUGAGGAACUCAGCACGCGCCUCUCAGGUGUCGGGGCUUCGGCCC
RNAcentral lists this ribosomal RNA (551 nucleotides) under Lactifluus luteolamellatus. Its description in RNAcentral is "partial large subunit ribosomal RNA". It matches the Rfam family "Eukaryotic large subunit ribosomal RNA", at positions 85 to 639 of the family's 3401-position model. The record is from RNAcentral. Lineage: Eukaryota; Fungi; Basidiomycota; Agaricomycetes; Russulales; Russulaceae.